RNAcentral lists this ribosomal RNA (442 nucleotides) under uncultured bacterium. RNAcentral describes it as "partial 16S ribosomal RNA". It matches the Rfam family "Bacterial small subunit ribosomal RNA", at positions 28 to 507 of the family's 1533-position model. The record is from RNAcentral.
GAUGAACGCUGGCGGCGUGCCUUAUACAUGCAAGUCGAGUGGGUUUAGACCCACGGCAAUCGGGUGAGUAACACGUCGGUCCUUUCCUUGUCACAGGAAUAACCCUCCGAAAGGAGGGCUAAUACCUGAUGUGAUCGCAAGAUUAAAGGGUAUCUGUUAGGAUUACCGGACAAGAAGAGGCAUGCGGCCUAUCAGCUAGUUGGCGGGGUAAAUGCCCACCAAGGCUACGACGGGUAGCUGGUCUUAUGAGGACGAUCAGUGAAAUGGGCACGGAGACACGGGCCCAACUCCUACGGGAGGCAGCAGUAGGGAAUUGUGCGAAAUGGGCGAAAGCCUGACGCAGCGACGCCGCGUGCGAGAUUAAGGCCUGCGGGUCGUAAACCGCUAUUAUAAGGGACGAACUUUGACGGUACCUAAUGAAUAAGAGGGUGCUAACUCUGUG